GAUGAACGCUGGCGGCGUGCCUAAUACAUGCAAGUCGAGCGAACAGACGAGGAGCUUGCUCCUCUGACGUUAGCGGCGGACGGGUGAGUAACACGUGGAUAACCUACCUAUAAGACUGGGAUAACUUCGGGAAACCGGAGCUAAUACCGGAUAAUAUAUUGAACCGCAUGGUUCAAUAGUGAAAGACGGUUUUGCUGUCACUUAUAGAUGGAUCCGCGCCGCAUUAGCUAGUUGGUAAGGUAACGGCUUACCAAGGCAACGAUGCGUAGCCGACCUGAGAGGGUGAUCGGCCACCCUGGAACUGAGACACGGUCCAGACUCCUACGGGAGGCCGCGGUAGGGACUCUUCCGCAAUGGGCGAGAGCCUGACGGAGCAACACCGCGUGAGUGAUGAAGGUCUUCGGAUCGUAAAACUCUGUUAUUAGGGGAGAACAAAUGUGUAAGUAACUAUGCACGUCUUGACGGUACCUACUCAGAAAGCCACGGCUAACUACGUG
Molecule: ribosomal RNA, 497 nt
Filed under: uncultured bacterium
Lineage: Bacteria
Description: partial 16S ribosomal RNA
Rfam family: Bacterial small subunit ribosomal RNA
Source: RNAcentral